RNAcentral lists this ribosomal RNA (728 nucleotides) under uncultured Glomeromycotina. Its description in RNAcentral is "SSU rRNA". It matches the Rfam family "Eukaryotic small subunit ribosomal RNA", at positions 364 to 1094 of the family's 1831-position model. The record is from RNAcentral. Lineage: Eukaryota; Fungi; Glomeromycota.
GGGGUGUUAGGGCACGACACCGGAGAGGGAGCCUGAGAAACGGCUACCACAUCCAAGGAUGGCAGCAGGCGCGCAAAUUACCCAAUCCCGACACGGGGAGGUAGUGACAAUAAAUAACAAUACGGGGUUCUUUCGGAUCUCGUAAUUGGAAUGAGUACAAUUUAAAUCUCUUAACGAGGAACAAUUGGAGGGCAAGUCUGGUGCCAGCAGCCGCGGUAAUUCCAGCUCCAAUAGCGUAUAUUAAAGUUGCUGCAGUUAAAAAGCUCGUAGUUGAAUUUCGGGACCAAUAUGUCGGUCGUGCCUCGGUACGUACUGGCAUCGUUGGUUUCUCCCUUCUGACGAACCAUGAUGUCAUUUAUUUGGUGUCGUGGGGAAUCAGGACUGUUACUUUGAAAAAAUUAGAGUGUUUAAAGCAGGCUCACGCUUGAAUACAUUAGCAUGGAAUAAUGAAAUAGGACGUUUGAUUCUAUUUUGUUGGUUUCUAGGAUCGACGUAAUGAUUAAUAGGGAUAGUUGGGGGCAUUAGUAUUCAAUUGUCAGAGGUGAAAUUCUUGGAUUUAUUGAAGACUAACUACUGCGAAAGCAUUUGCCAAGGAUGUUUUCAUUAAUCAAGAACGAAAGUUAGGGGAUCGAAGACGAUCAGAUACCGUCGUAGUCUUAACCAUAAACUAUGCCGACUAGGGAUCGGAUGAUGUUAAUUUUUUAAUGACUCAUUCGGCGCCUUACGGG